This 403-nucleotide ribosomal RNA is filed under the name Verrucomicrobiota bacterium. Its description in RNAcentral is "Verrucomicrobia bacterium partial 16S ribosomal RNA". It matches the Rfam family "Bacterial small subunit ribosomal RNA", at positions 355 to 776 of the family's 1533-position model. Lineage: Bacteria; Pseudomonadati; Verrucomicrobiota. The record is from RNAcentral.
UGGGGAAUAUUGCACAAUGGAGGGAACUCUGAUGCAGCGACGCCGCGUGAACGAAGAAGGCUUUCGAGUCGUAAAGUUCUUUUAUAUGGGAAGAUAAUGACGGUACCAUAAGAAUAAGGUCCGGCUAAAUACGUGCCAGCAGCCGCGGUAAUACGUAUGGACCGAGCGUUGUCCGGAAUCAUUGGGCGUAAAGGGUACGUAGGCGGCCCAGUAAGUUAGAAGUGAAAUAAUAUAGCUCAACUAUAUAAAGCUUUUAAAACUGCUAGGCUUGAGAGAUGGAAGGGAAAGUGGAAUUCCUAGUGUAGCGGUGAAAUGCGCAGAUAUUAGGAAGAAUACCGGUGGCGAAGGCGACUUUCUGGUCAUCAUCUGACGAUGAGGUACGAAAGCGUGGGUAGCAAACAGG